RNAcentral lists this long non-coding RNA (27610 nucleotides) under Marmota monax (woodchuck). The record is from RNAcentral. Lineage: Eukaryota; Metazoa; Chordata; Mammalia; Rodentia; Sciuridae.
GGAGAAUCCAACAUCAAUCAGUUGGCCCUGGAAGUAGUACUAGGAAGAAGACCAUAAAAUGGAAUUUUGGAGUUGGACCAGCCAUCUGACUACAAGGAUUCCAUCACUAGUGGUGAGUGGAGUAUAGAUAACUCUUGCCAUGCUGUAGCAAGUUAGUCAUUAAAGUUUUUGACAGUGGUAAAUUGAACUUGCAAUCAUAUACUGGUGGAAGGAAAUUUGCUAGUGGGUGCAAUGUCUCAGGUGUUUGAGAGGUUUGAAGAAAAUUGUAAUUCUAAAAUUAAAAAAAAAAUGGAGUUUUAAGUGUGGUGGCCUUGGAUGUCUGUUGGGGGAAAUGUAUACAUUGAAUGAAACCAAUGGAAGAUGGAGAGUUAUCACCAAUUAUAAGCUAAGUGUGAAAGCCAGAGAGCCUACUGGCAACAUAAAAAACUCCCAUCUCCUCUGGUUAAACACAGGAGCAACUGAGGUCAUCCCAGGGUUUAACUAUAUGAGUAGCAAAUCUUCUGAGGAAGCUGAAUACUCCAUAUUUGCAACCCUUCUAUAUCAAGGUGAGAAAUGGGGCAAAGACUUCUGAGUUUAUAUGUCAAAUUCUUGAAUUCUUAGAUUCCAUGAAUUCUCUGGGUCUGUAGAAGUAUCCUACCCAUGUCAGUUAGAGGUUACUGCUUAAAGAUGUUUCAGAGAUCUCUGCUUCAUAAUAGAGUAUACAUGUAUAGAGUAUACAUAAUAGAGUAAACAUUUUUCUGUAUUUACCCUAACAUUCCCACUUGCCUGUAGACAAUUACAUAGGAUCAAAUCAUAACAAUAAAUAAGGCAGGGUGUUGCACCUGGUAAAAGGGGAACAGAACUGUGAACACUGGAGAUUAUUAAUAGAUAUGUUACUUCAAAGAAAAUGGGGAGCCAGUAGGGUAUUGCUUAUAUACAUUUUCUAAAAAAAAAAAUUGAAGGUGAAGGGCACCAGCCAUAAAUAAAGUAUAUCCCUUGUACUAUUUCUAUAAUUGAGUCUGUUUUCAACUGGAAUCAUUAUUGACUAACGAAAACAUCCUAGGAAGUAAGACUUGUAACAAUAUAGCAAAUAAAUACAGUAACAAAUACUACAGUUCUUCCCUCUAAGGUAACUGUGGUCAUUGUACAGUGAAAAGGGGGUAUUGCCCAAAUAUUUUUGAAGACUGUUGUACAUAGAGUAUCAGUUGAUCUUGAUAGUCAGGCUACCUGUUAGACUGGGAGUGUAUGAGGUCUAAGAAGAGACAAACUUUAUAGUUGGUAAUGCCAUGGAUAAGAGUUAUCACAAGCAAGGUCAAAAAGAAGUUUCUGAAUUGUUUCCUCAAAACUCUACCAAGAUAGUAAAAGAAAAACAAUAUCACAACCUGGAAAAAGGGCAGAUGUUAGUGACACUAUUAAAAUAUCAAAGAUGUAUGAAUGUUGUCACAAUAUUUCCUGUCUAGUUCAUCUCCAUAGUUUCUAUGGAAACACAGGUGCAAUUUAGAAGAUGACAGUAGACUUCUGUAUACUCGAUCAAGAAGUAACAACAAUUGAAGCUGGUAUGCCAAGUAUGUUCUUUUUGUUAGAAAUAUUAACAUGACCUCUAGCACAUGGUAUAGUACCACUGGCUUUGAGCAUAUACUCUUUUUCUAUCUCAUCAAGAAGGAGAACCAUGAGUAUAUUGAAUUCUUAAAGGUGGACAAGAGUAUAUAUGUAUCAUCUUACUCCAUAUCUGGUGCUAUCAAAAUUUAAUUAGAAGAGACUCAGAACAUUUAUACAUGUCACCUAAUAUAAAAUUGUACUACCAUAUUGAGAGCAUUAUGCUAAUUGACAAGAUGAACAAAAAGUGGCAAGCACAUUAAUGUCCUUCAAGGAUUGGAGAUAAACCCUCAAAAUAUUAAUAGAUCUGAUUAUCAACAAUAUUAUUAGAGUUCCAGAAAAUGCAAGGAUGUCCUUUCCAAAGUAAAUCACACAUAUUGUAUUUCAUUCUACUACCAUUAGAAGACAAAUAUAGUGCUUGGCACACUUUGAACACUGGAGGCAUCUUAUUCCACAUUUUUGAUUAAUGUUCCAACAUACUUACUGGGUAACACAGAAGCCCGCUACCUUUAAGGAAUAUGCUCUUCAGGAGAAGAAGAUUAACAUUUAACAGGGAUGAGAGGUGGGAGGGAAAGGGAGAGAGAAGGGAAAUUGCACGGUAAUGGAAGGAGACCCUCAGGGUUAUACAGUGGAGGGGGUAGAGAGAGAGGAGGGGAGGGGAGGGGAGAGGUGGGGAGGGGGGAGGGUAGAGGAUGGGAAAGGCAGCGGAGCACAACAGACACUAGUAUGGCAAUUUGUAAAUCAAUGGAGGUGUAACUGAUGUGAUUCUGCAAUCUGUGUAUGGGGUGAAGGUGGGAGUUCAUAACCCACUUGAAUCAAAGUGUGGAAUAUGAUAAGUCAAGAAAUUUGUAAUGUUUUGAACAACCCACAAUAAAAAAUUAAAAUAAAUAAAUAAAUAAAUAAAUAAAGAGAGAAAAAAAAAAAAAAAAAGGAAUAUGCUCUUGUCAAUCCAGACUGCAAUUCAAAUAGAUGUGCCAUGUGGACUAUGUAAUACUCUAAGAUAUUAUAGGUAUUGGGGAUUGGUAACCCCCUUUUUAUGCUGAGAAUGUUUGCAACACAGAGCUGCAGAGAUUGGGAAAUAGUGAUGCCAUCAGCAGAAUGGAAUUAUACACAUUCAAAUUAACUCCUCAUGCACUACUGUGCUACAGAUUAUUAGUAAUCAUGGAUAAUAUAGUAAUGAAACAUCAAGUGUUCCUGGGUCCAUUGCAAGAUAGAAUCUAGAAAACUUUAUGAAUCAAAGGGGUUUUGAAGGUCCAGUCACAAACCAUCAUAAGAUGCAAGUGGAUUAUCUGGAAUGAAAUAGGCUAUGAGUAGAGCCUACAAGUUAUAAAGCUUGAAGAGUUUGCUUAUUAUCCCAUGCUGUCUAUCACUGUUUUGUUGGUACCUUUUCCUUAGCUCACACCUAUGGCUACAUGAAGCCUCCUUGCCUCUUAUGACCAGGUGAUGAAUGAAUAAAAACAUUACAUGUUUCAUUUGUGAGUUUGCCUGACAUGUGGACACAAGUGUACCAGAGACCCACCAAUGGGCAAAUUCUUCUAUGAAAGUUCUUUUUUGUUAGUCUAACACUUUGUGUGGAAAGAUAAGUAGCCCAUGCUAAGAAUACAUAUGGGUUUGUAGAGAGGUCAAAUGGCUCAACUCAUUGGGUAGGUGGCUUGAAAGGAGAAAGAAAGCAUGAUUUAGAAUAGCCUCUAAAGAAGAGGCAUAUAUUAUUAAUUGAAUUCUUGGAAGUGGGCAUAAAAUGUAGAAAUUCUUGCACUGCAUGUUAAUUUCUACCAGAGACGUUCACUAUGAAAAACCUACUAAACAACCAAAUAAAUAGCAUUACUCAUCCAGUUGACAUCUUGAACAAGUCAUCCUCUAUGCUAGAGUUGGCUAAAUGAGUUUAUGAUCUGAGUAUUCUUGGUGAAGAGGAUGAAGCACCAACCUGUAAGUACUUAGCAAGACUUAUCUAGUUGAUGUUGCUAUUUAAAGUCUAACACAUCAGCGAUAUAAAUCAAUGACAAGUCCCUGACAUGUCACCAGUUGUUGAAGAGACCAACCCCUAGCAGGAUUCUUUUUACUCUGGAAAGAAGAGUGGUUAAUUUUGGCUGAAACCUUGAUAUAUUCAUGUGUAUGGGUUUUCACUUUCCGCUUGCAGAAAGCCUCAUUCAGAUACACAACCUGAAGAGUGUUUGAUCAGUCAAUAUAUAAUGGUACCUAACAUUUUCUUGAAUUAACUUAUAGCAAUGGAAAUGUAACAGCUGGCAUAUGAUCAUGGGACACAUUGGUCCUAUCACAUAAUGCACCAGUUGUUGGCUCACAGUUGUUGGCUGAAUAGUCUGUCAAAAGCACAGACUUUGUUCUCUACCCCAACUGAGGUGACAAUUUGCAAGUAGUCUAUGUGUAUAGGUCCAUCUUUUGGAAUACAAUAUUCAUUAAAUAAGUGACUGAUAUAGGGUAGUAUAUGUCCAAAAGGUAGAAUAAAUGAGUCUGAUAAUCCAGGUUAGAGAUGGAAGUGACCUCACAAUCAUCUGAUGUAACCUGUAACUCCAAGCUCUGUAUGUUCUAAGAUGUGGAACACUUGCUCCAGGGAAUAUCUUGUGAAUUCCAUUAAACUUUAUAUGAUGAGUCCCACCUAGUCAGAUUGGAAUUUUUUACUAAAAGAUCAAUAGACAAGGAGAAUGUAGCCAUCCUAGUAUGUUGAUUGAACUUUAUAAGCAGGACGAGGUAGAGGAGGCAAAGGAGAACGGAGCAGGCACCCGUAUUUCUUGGCAAUCUUCUACAAAAUUUGAUGAAGCAGCCAGGGUCUGAGAAGUUUAUAGAGACCAGGGGACCAGACUCUUCAGGAUUGUGUUUGGCUUCCCUUACAUUGUAACCUACCUGAAUCAGCAGAGGUGUUAGAUUAGGGAAUUUUAUAAAAUGGGUAGUGGAGAAAAAAUAAUUAAUAUCAGCUGUAAGUCUUGGGCUAUACUUUGUACCACUAACUUCCUAUUCUGAAUGGCCCCAGGGAUAUAGAUCAACUGGAAUUCUGGAGUUUUUCCCAGAGGGAGUGAAUCUAUUUCUAUAAAGUAAGUGGUUCUGAGUGCCACAAGAAAUGGGCUGAAGUGCCUGUACUGAGUUGCGCAGUUCUGUUUUUAAAACUUGCCUUAUUGUUGCUUCUGACUAUACAUAGCUGACUACAUCCUUCAAUAUUACUUCAAGUCGAAGAAAGAUGAUUUGCCAAAAGUUAUGUCCCAUUUUCUAGUGGAGAUAACGUACAAUGACCUGUCUGGCUGCUUUUCCUGGAUUGGGGACACCUCUGAAGAUCUUCUCAGCUCAGAUUUUUCAGUGUGAUCAUUGCAAAUUUUCCAGUUUUAUCCAAGUUCAAGUUUAAACUCUGCCCAAACAAUCUUGUUUCCCUUGCUUCUUUGUAUUUAUUCUCUGCUAUAGUUUGAAUGUUUAUAUCUCCCUCAGAAUUUACAUGUUGAAAUCUCAACUUUCAUGGGUAUGUUAUUAAAAAACAGGAUAUUUAAGGAGAAGAUUACGUCAUGAGUGCAGAAACCUAAUAAAUGUGACCAAUAUCCUCAUACAAGGGAUCCCGCUUGCACCAUGCAAAGGCAUAGCUAGAAGGCUCCAUCCACGAGCCAGGAAAUGGACCCUUCACUGAAUCAGCUCCUUGAUCUUGGAUUUCCCAGCUUCUAGAACUAUAAAAAAAUAAGGGUAUUGUUUAUAAACUACACAGAUUAUGGUAUUUUGUUAUUGCAACUUGAAUGGACUAAGGUACCCAGUUGCCAUUUCUAGAGCACAUUAAAUUCAUGGGGGUACAUUUUAGAGUCUGGGAAUCUUAAGAAACCUAAUCUAUGACCCAUUGAGUAAGAGAAAAGGAUAUUUCCUGUAAGGAAACAGCUUGUUUAAAGUCACAGAGGCAUUAAGUGAGGUGUGAACACCCAAUAACUUACUGUGGUUGAAGCUUAGAAAGCACUGGGGAGCAAGUUUGGAAAGAGUGAAGGUCAACAACACUAGAAUGAUUGCCUUGAGUACCUAAUUUAGUUGGCAGUGUGGAAGCUUCAUGACUUAGAUGCCGAAGCAGAAACAAACUUUAUUUCUGAAACUCCUGCCAAUGCCACUCAUGCACGCUCCCUGGAAAUAUGCCGAACCACACACGCGGUGCUCUCCCGGGACACACUACACCAACAGGAAAUCCCUCCUCUGGAAUUCCCUCCCACCGCACUUCCCCAACCAAUGGGAACUCUCCCGGAGUCGUGCUAGAGCUCCAAAGUAGCAGGCUGAGGCGGACAGCAGGGGUCUAAUAUCCAAUUGAAUGCAGAUCUUAACAUAAUCAUAUCAUCUCAAUGGCUUGCUGGCGUCACCUUUCAACCAAAAAUGCCAUGCAUCGUUCCUACUUGGCUAUGGCUCUCAGCACUUAGAGCCAGGUAACCAAAUGAUCUGAACUUUGCUGUAGGAGGAUAAAACAAUGAGGAAAAUGCAUGGAGAUGGAGGAAGGGUUCGCAUUUGAGAAACACUGGAAGUAUUAUGUUCAGUUUCCUAAAGGAGAAGUCUUUGUUCACAGCCAUGGUAGGAAUAGUAAAAAUGGUGAGGAGGCUCUGAGUAAAUCAAUAGAGCGUGCAGAUAAAAAGGACUUGGUAUUUGAUUUGAUGUGAGGACAGGAUGAAUGAACUGCAGUAUUUCUGGAAAUUUGAGAAAGAAGUUUUGUGGCCUUUGUAGAAUUCUUUACAAGAACUGGGAUGUGCCUAUCGCCUGAGUUUCCCAGGAGGUAUUAUUCUAGAGAACUUCAAAAGGCAUAGGGAAGCUUUUUGUGGAGCAGUUUCCAACCAUAAUCUUCCCAGCUGACUAUAGAAAUGUCUCUUAAUCUCUCUCCCAAUCACGAUGUGCCCAUUUUCUCCCCAGGUUCAGCCUGUUCCAUUCAUUUUAUGGCUUUGUUCUCUAGCGGAUUAGCUGUGACAAACUGUGGCUAGGCCAAAUAGCUGCUUCCCCACACCCGAGCUAGGGCACUAUUGUGUAGGCCCCUUUUAAGAGCAAAGUUUCUUAAUGACCCUAAGCUUUGACUUAAUUAUUCUUAUUAUAGUAUUACUUAAACACGUUUAAACAUCAAAAUAGGUAUAAACUCUGUGUGCUUACCAGCUUUAUAGAAUCAUGUAUAAGAAAGACCACUUUACAAGUUGAAGUCAAUAAAAACUAUAGAACUAAUAAAAUUUAAAUUAAGAUCAUUAAUUUUAUGGACAGAUGAAGUUGUUUUGAGGAAAUUAAAUCGCUGCUCACAACCUAAAUGACAAUCAGCCUCUUUUGAGUUUGGAAUGUCAAAGCUAUCUUGCCACUUGUUAUGACUUAGUUCUCUCUAGAAUUUUCUGUAUUCAAACUAAAAAGAAGUCAUCAAGAUUUUAAAUGACAUUAGUUGGCCUUUACUUAGCAGGUACUUGUUUUUAGUUGUCUAUGAAAUAUGCUUCUCAUUAGCCUUACAAUUACAAGGAGGUGCAGCUUGACCCAGUGAUAUCCUGAACACAAGUAUGUAUUUGAAGCCAAAUGUGAGUUAUAGUAUUUGGUAAUUGACAUAAUCCUCAAUGUAAUUAUUGACAAAAAUUUAGGUUACCAUACAAAACAUUUAAGUUUUUAGGCACUCAGAGCUCAAUUAAAUUUUUUUUUUUAAAGUUAAGUUCCUUUGUCCAUUGAUGGGCUGUGAAUUGUUAUAAUGAUUUCAAAUUCUUUUUUUGGUUCUUUUGAAGCAUGACAAGUAAUUCCAUAGGAUUUCACUGUUGUGUACAAUUAAAGCCCACUUCCAAGUAAAAUAUUAUGUGAUUUACUCAGAGUUGCCAUGAUUUUGUGUUUAUAAGCCAAUGUUUGUAUUAUCCUGGAUCUGGAUUUUUUUUGUUUUCCUUUACUGAGUAGUCUGGCUGUCAUAGAGUGUGUGGCAAGCUCAGAGAUGUGAGCGGCACUUCCCUCCUCAGAAGGGCUGCUUAUGUGAAUGCCUUGAUACUUUCUUUUAGGAAUAGUUUUCAAUUGUCACCCUUAGAGGUUUGUAUUUAAAAGUUCUUUCGGAUUUAGUAUUGUCAUUGUUCAUCUUUGCUGUGUGUUUAUCUAACUCUAUAGUGGAUUGCAAUACUUAAUUUUACCACUAAUUUUCUGUCCUCUAUUCUAACUAUAGUCUCUGAUGUAUAUUGUGAAUCAGAUGUGAAUAUCCAUAUCUAACCCUAACCUUCUUCCCAAAUUUAAUUUGAUAAGGAAUUACAUUUCAUUGCUAUCAUGGAGUAAUAGUGGCCAAUGGAAAUUAGGAGCAGGCCUGGUGAGUGUCAGGGUUACUUGUCAUGUUUAAAAAGGGAUACUGGUCCAAAGAGUUGGAGAGCUACUAUUCUAAUUAGCAGAAAGCCCCAAUCUGGUUAUUUGUCUUUGUCAUCUUGUCCCCUUGAAAAGCCACACCUAAUAAUAAUGAUGGUUGCUCUCUAACUAAGUUACCUUUAUGCAAACUUAGUUUUCAUAGUUUGCUGUUUAAAAUCCUUGGAUGACAGCGCACAAUUUAAAUAAGAAAGAAUGUAGAAAUGGAACCUUAGUGUAACUCUAGCCAUAACAGGUCAGAUUUGGUAUAAAACUAGUACAUAUUGGAUCAAAUCCAGAUGGGUUUAUUACCAAAUGUACCAGAAGGAUCUAAUUAUAACACUUUCACAUAGAACAUGGUCCCUUAGAAUGGAUUUCCAGGAUAGCAUGUUGAAAAUGUCAUGCAAAUGAAAACGAGAUGGGUAGUUCUUUUGGUAGAUGAGGGAUGUAGGUAGAAGGGAGGAUAGAAGAAAUGUCUUAGGGAACACAGAUGAGGAUGAUAUAGGGAACCUCAGUCUGGAAUUUCUUUAAGCAUUGGCCUUGGGGUAUGAAAGGCAAAUGAAACAAAAAUUCUAUCAAAUUUAGUUGAAUGUCAGGAGUCCUUGGCUGAAAACAUUUGAAACUGUUACACUAAAAUCAGUUCAAUAUGUUCAGUAUUAUUAUUAUUUUUAUAACUAAGUUAUUUAUGUUAAUACAAUUGAGCACUACAAUAAGCCACACUUCUCAGAAUUUUUUUGUGGUACCAUUCUAGAGCAUGAGCCCACAUACUUUAUGCUUCCUGAGUUAUGUAAGGCAUUCAAUUGUCUACUGAUUUCCCUAGGUUGGUAAGUUGAGGGAAAUGAUUUUAAGAUAAAAAGAAAAAAGCCUUAAGUUGUUUAUUUUUUCUUUCAAAGAAAAGCUGCUAAGGGUUGUAAACCUAAUAGAAUUUUGUCUAAUUACAUUUUAAAUCAUGUGUUCAAUGUGUUUCUUUAUUAUUUAUGUACAAUUAAAGUUUUGUCCACAAUCUACAUGGAAGAUUUUGAUAAGUACCAGGGGCAUUAGUUUUGUAAAAGUUGAUGGUGGCAGGAUUUGCAGCAACUCUGGUUGUUAAAAGAUAACUUUCAUCUGUUAGUGCUCUCUACAGAGGAAAACGUGGACAGUGACUUGUGUAAUGGCAGCACAUUUUGGAAAACAGGAUUAACCGAGAUAGUCCAUCUAUACAAAACUAUUUUUAAAUCUAAUUUCUCACAUUCUCUUAAAGGCACACUGAUGAGUUUCUUUAACUCCAGUUACUUAUUUUCCUGUCUAAAUCUAUACAUGUAUAAAAAUUACAGUGUGAGUAGCUGGGGUUCCAUUAAAAUAGCUUUUUAAAUGUGCAUCUUAACCAUUUUUUUUCUUUUAGUUUCAACCAGGACAUGCAUUUGAAAAAAAGUUUUUUCUUACACUUUAAUGGUAGAUAUUUAGACAAAAGUUGUCUAAUUAAAUCAGUGAAUGGAACUCAGACUAUACUUAUUUCUGUAUUUCUUAAAGUAGAAUAUUAAUAGCUAUGUAUAGACUAUUGAAAUUUCAGGGCACCAGGACAAGUGAAUGUAUGGAUUUUUAGAUCCGAGAACUAGAUGUGGUCUCGUUUCAGGGCAGUUCUGUCUUCUCCAAGUCCCUGUACUCCCUACACACUCCUUCAUCCAUGACUAGCUCUUUCCACACAUUUCUUGCCUCUGGGAUUCUUUCUGUUUAUGCCCUGUCAACCAUCUCUUCUUUGGCUUGCCAACUAUGCCCUCUCAUUGGUCUAUUUUUUCUAAUAUGAGACAUAUUCUGGGCUAUUCAGUGACUAUAUAUACUUUAAAAAGGAGACAAUUUUUGAACAAAAAUGUGCUUAUAUAUUUAUUCCUUGCAAAUUAGAAAAAUUUUCAAACUUCUUUACUUUUUUUUUUUUGCCUUUACUUAAAAUUUUCAGAAAUAACAACCAGGUCAUAUACAGCUGCAUUAUCUUUGUGUUCAUAAUAACUCCCAAGGUCUUAUCCAGGUCUAUUAAAAGUACAGUAAUUCAUUGGUUUUGUGUACAUAAUGCAUAAAUAUCUGGCUGGAAAAUUCAGUCCACUAUAUGGCUAUUUGGUCAUUAAGACUCCAAACAUUUGGAUUAUUUAAUUGGGAGAUAUAAAAUAACUGUUUCUUAGAAUCAGAAUGAAUGGGUAUUAUUUAGAAAAUGUUGCAGAUUUUUUAAAAAAUUUAGCUAUUCUGGUUUUAGUAGAUAUAGCUUUGUGUGUGUUGUUAACAACUAAAGAGUAAUUUAUGCACUGUAAGCUCAUUGCUUGUAUUUUCUUUUUCUAUAAUAAGAUUCUAAUAAAUAAAAAUGUUGGGUUCAUUUCAUCACACAAGUUCAUUUUUAUUCUGUGUCACAGAAUCAAUAAACCUUUAUAUAAAUGUGUUUAUAUACACAUAUAAAAUGAUACAGACAAUUCAUACAAUUCAGUUUUUAGAAAGGCACAACAUUAUUUUGUUAUGUGGUAACAUGGAAAUAGUAACUGAACAAUUGAUAUUUUAUUUUCUAAAAAAACAAGUAUUUAGUUUGGGAGCCGGGGAAGAAAAAAGCAACAUUUAACUUAUCUUUUAUUGAUCUGAUUCUAAGAACACUUUAUGAUACAAGAAUACUACUUAAAACAUUAUUGUUAUCAAAACAUUUCUUUUGAAAAAUGAAUAUUCACAUAUCUGCUUAAUUUUUAAAUUUAUUCUUUACCUCCCUUCUUCUCUUCCUUCCUUACACAAUUAUUUACAUAGUCUUUAACUUGACAAGGCAUUUUGUACUUAAUUAACCUACAAAUAUUUCUUUUCUUUCUUUCUUUCUUUUUUUUUUUUAAAUUUGAUAUUUGGUGCUACUGGGGAUUGAACCCAGGGCCUUGCAUGUUCUAGGCAAGUACUUUAUCUCUGAGCUUUAUCCCCAAACUAGAAAUAUUUCCAUGUUGCAUUGUGGAUUUUGUUUUAUAUUUGGACUUAUUUUUAACACUAACUUUUCUAAAUUUUUUUCCUACUUUUGUCUACACAUUCUCUCACACAUACACAAUUAUAUUUGAAUUAAGAAAUGGUAAACAAAUAAAAAAUUCAUUAGUUUAAUUGACCAGUUUAUUCUGUUUUAACAAUGGAGUUUCUGAUUCAUAGUAAGCUAAAUAACUUUUUGGAUUUUUCCCUUAAUUUAGCAAGUAUUAUUAAGUACAUAUUUUUAUUUGAAAUGUUAUGUGUCCAUGAUAACUGUUUGGGGGAAUUUGAAGAUUCAGUAUAGUCAAAACACAACUGUUGACUGAUUUUUAAAUUCAACAAUGGCAUUGAUACUUUUUGUUUUUGUGAUCUGGUUGUAUUUCUUCAUUUAUUCUUAGCCUAUACUUUUUAAGAUAAACUUUUUAUGCAAAAUGUCUUAUUUGUUGAAAGUAAUUUUAAAAUAGUUAUUGGUUAGUAAAUGUUAUAUAGAUAACUCAAACAAUUUAUAUUUAUUUAAUAAGAUUUAGAUAAAAUAUGUUUUAAAAUGAUUUGAUAAGCUAAUGAACAGAAAUGUCAUACAUCCAGAUCUCUCUUUCACAAAUUUAUUUUACUUCCAUAAGAUAGUUUAAAAUUGAUAUUAGUUAUUUUGAAAAAUUAUUUUUAGUUUUCUUUUUUUCAUGAUAUGUGCAUAUCAAGAUAUUUAAUAGUAACUUCAUUAAAAUCCCUUCUAAACUGUUAUAAUAGUUUCAGUAUUUAUUUAUUCUAUAUUGCUUAUUUCUUUACAGAGAGAGCAAAACUUAUAAAUUACAAAACAUAAUUUUUGCAUGUAUACAAUUUCUUGAAAUUCUGACAAGUCUCUGAAAAUAUAGAACAUAUAGUAUAGAAUUUAGAAAAGAAAUAAUUCACAAAACAUUUGUUGAAGAGCUAGCUGUAUGUUUGUCUCUAGCACUAUGUGUCAAAAUAUGUGUAUGUUCUUAUACACACAUGUAUACAUACACAUACAUGUAUCUGUACACAAUCAGGUAUGAAUGAGUUCAUUUUUUUUUGUCAUUUCAUUGGUUAAACAACAAGAUGGAAAAAUACUUUCCUCAAAUUAUAUAGAAAUAAUUUCCUCAAGUAGUGUUUCUAAAAUAUACUGAUAAUAACAACAAAAAGUUAAUGUGGCCAAUCAGCACUGAAAAAUUUCCUCUUUCUGUAGCAAAAGUAAUAAGAUGCUCAUUUUUUUAAAUGAAAGGAGACAAAAUGAAAUGCUUAACACAAACAAAUGACUUAAAUAAGAAUGUAUUAAUCAAAAUAAAAUGAACACUUCACCAAAAUAAAAACUCAGUAUUAUUGAGAAGGAAGAAUAUUAUAUUACCUCUGUCUGUAGGGCUUCCAUCAGAAGGAGCUCAGCCUUGGUUUCCCACUGUUAGUACAAAGGAGAUUAGUGAUGUAAUUAUCAUUGAAACUGAUGUCCUUCUGAAAAAAAGAGGGGAAUUUGAAAUGCAAAUCAGCAUUUAUUGAAUUUUUUAUGACACAGUGAAAGAGAUAAAGGUCUCUGGUUUAUGAUGGGGAGAAAAGAAUGAUAACUAGGUAAGAGCUUUGUUUUUAACAAACUAGCCAAACAAAAUAAGUACUGAAAUCAGAUUAUUUGGGGUUUUAUUUUAAUAUGUACACAGAUUUUUAAAAUAAAAAGGAAGCAAUUGAAAAAGUAAAUACUCAUCUUUUGGACAUCCACUCAUUUAGAUCACUAGCUUCCCUUCAUCCAAGACACAUAAAUCUUAAAUACUUGGAAUUUCCAUUGUUAACAAAGAGAAUUGCAUGAUGGUGUGCAAAUAAACACCAUGCCAAUGACUAUAGCCCUUAAUUGUUUCAAUAAUAGUAGACAUACCUGUUUUGUCUUCAAGGAAUUAAAGUCUCACAGACAUAUCUAAGAAUCUAUAUUUAUUGUAUCACACUUUGUAAUGUAACAUCAAGUUAUAUAACCUGUUGUGGAAAUUUGGCAUUAUAAAGGGAAGCACUAUAUAAUCCUGGAUCUCACUGGACUCCAUCCGGAGAAUUUUAGUGUGUAAGAAUUCAGAUUUAAAGGCAGAUGAUAUGGAGUUACCUUUAAAGGGACAUGAUUUUUUUUAAAGCAAAAGUUACCCCAAAACAAUAGCAAAGCCAAAACUACAAAACAAUCUGAGCCUUUGUUGAAAAAAAUGUAGUUCUUUAGCUUGACCAGGAAUGACAAAGGAAGAAUGUCAUUAAAAUAUUGUCCAGUUCUCUCUUUGGAUUCUGUGCAGCAUGACUAUGAUGGUGGAGUAUAGGUAGGUACACAGUAGAGACCCAGGAUAGAUAGCAUGAUGUCCUUUUCAUAAGGCAACUUGUUUUUUUUGUGUGUGUGCAGAAGUAAAAAUGCUUAGGUAACAGCAUUCCAUACUUAGAUAACAAUACACUGUAAACUUUGAUUUGGGUUAAAGACAAGUGAGUCCAGAGAAAAGAAAUAACCUUGGGCUGGUGCUCCACAGAACCUUGAAUGAAAUAUUGAAUUUUCAAAGAGAGAAAGAGGAGCUAUUUCAGGUAAGGGGCUGGGGGGGGGUGUAGUCUGUUGAAAGUGAAAAGCUUGAAUAACAGUACUUACUUGAAUGACAAUACGAAUAGCAAACAUUUAUUGAUUACUUGUGGGAGAUUCUAAGCAUUUUACUACCUCAUUUCAUCAUCAAUCUUUGUCUUAUCAGCCAUGAAACAGUCACAGACUACCUGUAAUCUCAGGGUCAGUUUAUCUUCUUGGCCGAAAUGGCCAGAUGUGAAACUAGUCUGACUGUGAGAAGGAAUUGUCUUAAUGCUGACCUGGUAGAGACACCUUAAUUGGUUUUAUUGACUAGUGUCAAUAUGAUAAUAUUCUACUUUCAAUCAGAUUGCAAUAUUGGACUUCUGUGGCUUUAGUCUUAUGUCAUUUAAAUUCCAAUAUUUAAGAAAAUAAAGUUCUGGUUGUACGGCCAAAUAUGAACAGUGCGUAGCCAAAGUGAACCAAUAUAUUGUAUUGACCUUUAAUUUGUUGGUUUUACUGGAUUGCUUUACUACUUCACAACAAAUUAAAUUGGUAAACUCAGUGGAAAAAAAUCAUAAAAAAUAAUACUUGACCAUUUGUUUGACAAAUAAAUAAAUAAAUAAGUCUCAAUUUGUGGAUACAGCCUAAUGUGGAAAAAAUCAUUAAAUACUGAAACUUGAGGGAAACUUAUAAGUUCUUCUCCUAAAUUAAAAUCACAAUUAAUAUUAUAAAGUCAUUAUACUAUAGCAUUGAAUAUAAAUGUAAUUAAUUGAUGUUAGACAUAUCAGACAAUUUAAUAGAAUUAUUUUGCUAAUAGAUUUUCAAUUGAGACUCCUGACUCUAAAAUAGGGAAUUUUGAUGGACCUUUUUGGAAAAUUUUAAUAGACAUAGUUAAUAUGCAUUAUUUAUGCUCAGCAGUGUUGUUUUUAUUAUUCACAUAUGCCCAAAGGCUUAGGCAACAGGGAAGGAUUUUUAAAAAAAAAUAAAUUGAAAGAAUAAAUAAAUAAAAUUAAAACCACAUGUUAGUUCUUUGGGGAGUGAAGGGGUGCAUUUUGACUGUUGGUUACUCUAUAUGUUAAGCUUGGGUCUGAUUUCAGGUAAACUUGUGAUUAAAGACCUAGUCUAGGGAAAUCUCUGGUGUCAUGCAGAGAUAUGCACUAGAAAAGAGUCAAGUUCAGCAGAUCCUUAAGAAUCUUAAACAAAGUUCACACAACCCUUGAUAUAGCUUGGAGUUGUCCAGCAAUUGAAAGGAGUGCUUUGUCCUGAGUAUGUAAUUUUGAAGUGAUAUCAGGACAGUAUUAGACAGUUUGGACUAUUAGAUAUGGACUUCUUUUAGGUUCUUCAUGAUCAAAAGCGGAAAGAAAUAUGGACCAGUUAGAACUUUGAUUUUUUUUCUAAGAAAUUGUCAAGAAAAGGAAUCAGGAGAAACAAUGCAUUUCUCUUUCUCUUCAUCAUUUAAUCUAAGGGAAUAAGAGAGAAAGAAGUUGUCUGGAAUACAACGUGAAAUUUGUAUAAAAAAAGUGCUAUUAUGGAUUUACUUCCAAUCAUUCCUUGACUAUAUGAUUAUGUAUUAUGACAAUGUCAUAACACCGAUUUUUUUGAUGGAAUGUCAGAAGCAUUUUACAAGUCUGUGGCUCCCUGAAAACUCAAGUGCUUUUAUAACUCCAAAAAGUUUCUAUAAUAGGCUUUAUUCUUUCUUUUAAAUGACUGUCAGAGGGACCUACCAUUAUCUUGACACUUAUAUUUGAGAAACUUUUGCUCAAGCUCUUACACACCUUCAUGGCAACAUUCAAUUUCCAGGCUCUUUUGUGGCUUCCUCUUUCUGCUUCUCAUUAUGUCUAACCAGCAGAAUGUUUUGUCUGUUUUGAUCAGCCAGGUUAGAAGUGAGCUGAAUUCUGAACAUUUUCACCCUGUUUUUUAGUCCCGCUUAAGAAAUAUUUACUGAAGCUCUGGACCUAUAAAAAUGAAGUGGAUUUUGAGAUUUUAUUGAUGUAAUGGAAGAGAAAGGAUUGCCCAUUGUUACUAUAUCCAAAACAUUUCAGAAGUACAAGCAGAGAAAUAUGUCUCUAUCACCAGAAAUUAAUAUGAAAUCAUGUUCUUCUUCUGUCAUACAGAAAAUUUGUCAUUGAUUUUAUCUCCAAUAAAAGCUAUGUCAGUGGUGCCACAUAAUACAUUUGUAAAGGUUAGAGAUAUUUUAACCCUCAUCUGUGACCAGAAUUAUAAUGGUAAGCAACCCACUGAAGCACCACCAGCAGAUUAUUAAGAGUGUACAAUUUUUUUUUCUUCAGACAUUAAUGCAAAAUAGCAAAGGAAUGCACACAUUGUAAUGCAGUCAGGUCAUUUUUAAUAAUGUCCUUGAAAUUGUAAAUUUAUUACAUAAGUAGAAAUAUGUGAUUACAAAUUCCAUCAAUCUCAUGUUCUUGUCAUGGAUUUGUGUUUUUAGAGUCCAGAGAGAUUAUGCUGUCGUAUUGGUUAAAUUCUCAGAAAGGUCUGUGAAAACAUAACAGCCACAUUAUUUUAAUGACUUCCUUUCUGAAAUGUGUAUUGUUGCAAGCUAUGAAUAAUGAAGAGUGAAUUCUCAGAAAUAUAGGUUUUACUUAUCUGGAUUUCAAUUUCCAGAAUUCAAUAAUUCCACUUUGAAUUCUGCUAAUUAGGUAUAUAGAAUAUAAGAGUAAAUAUCUGUAGCUGAAUGGACUGACUAGUCCUUGGAAAAUUAAGGUUGCUGAAUUCACUUAAUGUAACAUCAUAUUAUCUCUUAUUUUCCUCUUAUUUAUACUUUUCAGUAUAAGUUUCCAGGCAGAAUUUACUUUCUCCUUUAAUUGCACAUUCUAUUUUGUAUUAAGAGCUAAAUUUCAGAUGCUAAAGUUUCUCAGUUGGACAAAUUAGUAACUGAUGAGCAGCCAUAGGACAGACCUAAGUCGCUAGCCUCAAAAUUGAAUCAUAAGAAACUACGAUUCAGAACUAGCUAAGAAAAAUGAAAUGCAUAUUCAGAUUGUUUUUCCACCGGAUGUAUGACACAAAUACAAUGUUUGCUUAGGAACAUCCAAAUAAAACAUUUAUUUAUUUAUUUUGUAUCUCAGACACUGGAAUUGGUUCAUGCUGGCGUCUGGUCAUUUUAUUCAGAAGUGCAGAAUGUAUUUUGAAUACAAGUUGAUUUAAUUUAGUUGGUUUAAUCCACAGUUUCAACUUUUGCCUUCUCUUUUAAAACAAGUUUCAUGAAAGCAUCUGCAGAAGCCUUGUUUUGAUUACCCUUUAUCCUUCAGCCUUAGAUCAGUAUCAGUUUUUUCCCCUUGCUCAUAAUCCAUUAUAGAAAAUACUGUAGAUUUCUACAGCAUGACCAAAACUCCACAUUAUGUUUGCAAUUUUCCGUAAGAUUUGUGUAGAAUAAAGUAAAAAAUGUUUGCUUUAAGAGACAUCUGCUAUAAAUAAAAUGACAGUGUAAAUUUUCAAGAGAGCUGCACAAUUGCUAUAAAGGCUCAAAACAUGAACCUUCUCUAGCAGUUUCCAGCACUUUGUGAUUUUCCAAAGGGUCAAGGGUAUUCACCUCCCUGCUCUUGAACCCCCACCCAACUCCUGGUUCUCCUAGCCACCCUCUCAGUCCCCGCAAUUGCAAUGAAAUUAGCCUGUAAUGCUUUCAGCACCCUUGCAGAUCAGCUUUCCUUUUCAGGGAAACAUGUGAAUGGCACUAAAAUACGCUUCCCACUCUCACAAAAUAUUUCCUCAGAAUACUUUAGAAACUCAAACCAGUUACUUCAGAUUCUGAUAUUAUCUUUAUUGAAUAGCAUCAGCCUGAAAGGUCAGCCAUCUAGGUCAGUGAUACAUAUUGCUUAAGAAGUUUCCAGAGCUACUCAUUAAAGCUCUGCCUCAGGAGAGAUUUGCUAGGGAGAAGAGAGACAGAGCUGCAUUUCUUUCCCAAAAUUUUCUUGCCAAUGAUCUUUAAAAACAAGUAACAGAGUUCUUACAAUAUCCUCCUUUGGAAUGACAAAAAAAAAGAAAAGAAAAGAAAAGAAAAUUCUGUUUUCUAAAAGGAAGCACACCAUAGUGGUUGUUGUCAGAAAUAGAGUUGAGAAAUCAAUGACUAAGAACAACAAUGACAAAUAUAUGUGGAAGUUCAGAGAAAAAAGCUGGACAAUACUAUUUAAAAAAUGGUCAUCAAACUAUAUAAAAAGCUCAUUUUAAAAUUCUUUAUUGAUGCCAUUUAUAUACGUUUUUAAAUAUAGAAAGUGAAAUUCAAAACACAAAAUUCCAUAGAGUAACAAAUAUAUUCAAGCUUUAACCUUAAUAAGAACUUCAGGUUGAUGGAAAAAUAUGUAAACCAAGGCUCAUUAUUUUUCAGAUAACAAGAAAGGAAGGAGCACCUUGUAUGGAUAUUGCUUCAUUUAUUUACUGCAUGUCUAGUGUGAAAGUACUUUUUGGUAUUUAUAGAAAUAUAUUUUAAAUUGGUUUUUCAUUAUAAUACCCCAAAGGCAAAAUUAUUUUAUUGGAAAAUUGAUUUGCUAUCAAAUAAAAUGAAGAUAAGAGUUUAAAAGUGCUAAACUAGUCAAAUGAUAACAGUUUAGUUCACAAACAUUACAGGAUGUGCAUACAUGCACCCAUAUGUAUUAUAUGUAAGUGUAUGGUAUGUGUGUGUGUGUGUGUGUGUGCGUGCGCGCGCAUUUUAAAUCUUCCCAUAUUUAUGGUUCUCAAAAGUGACUUUUUGUAGCAAUGGAGGAAAUGUUAGGCUGCCACUUUUUGAUAUAGCAGUUCCUCAAUGCACAUAUAAAUUAUAUAAAUUGUUAUGACCGACAAAACCAAUUGUCAAAAUGUAUAUAUAUAUAUAUAUAUUUUUUUUUUAAAAAAAAUACUUAUUUCCCCCCUUAAAAAUGGUUUAAUUUCUCCCUAUCUCUUUGAGUCCUUUAUCUUCUCCAAUGUCCUACCUUGCAAUAUGUGUGAAAUUUUAUCAAAAGCUUUCUGAUAUUACCAUAAAUUACUGUGUAAGCAGAGCUAUUGCUUAUCUGUCAAGGGGACUUUUUUCCCUCUCUUGAGCAAUUUUCUCUAUUUCUAUCUGUGUGAAAGGUUUUCCCUGCUAUUUUUAUUUUUAAUUUUUAAUACUAAGAACUGUACCUUAAGGACUUUGACUUUCAGUGAGGGGAUACAUUAGAAACCUAUUCAUAGAAUAACCUUUUGACACCACAAAGGGGCAAGAAAAACAUUUUCUUUCAUCUGUUUUUUUUCUUUAGUAAGAAUUUAGAAAUAAUAAUUUCUAUAGGGUGGGACAAAUUCCUGUGUUAAAUCCAGAAAUUGUAUGAAUUGUGUUUAAGGUAUUUUUCUACCCUUCUAAGUUCCAAGUUCAUUUUAGUUGUAUUUUGAUGGCAGUGAGUUAAUUUUUUGUUAUUUAUUUUUAAGAUUAUGUUUCAUUAGUGUUAAUCUUCUGAUGAGAAUUAUUUUAUGGUACUCUAUCAAACCUAUUAGUCGUAAGUUUUAACAACCAUGCAAUUAUAUUUUCUAUUGUAAGGUUUCUUAUAAAAUAUUCAAGGUUAAUUGGACAUAUCUUCUGCUUUGGAAAGUAGUUAAGAUGAUAUCAUAUUAUGUAGUGUAUAAUCUAGAAAGACCCUGGAUAUUAGGGUUGCUUUAUUUCUGCCCUAGGAAGAGAUGGAGUGGAAUUUCUAUUUGGGGCAUGCAGGAAAAAGGUUACUUUGAAGAUCCAGACUUUGGAGAGGAUUGCCAUGAUAACAGAGUAUCUAGAAAGCAUUUUAAGGAAGAAAGCCUAAAAUGUUCCUAAAAUGUCCCUGGGCUCAUCAGUUGACUGGAAUUUUGUUUCAUAGUCAAUGACUUGCCAUAUCAUCUCUUUAAUUUUACCUACAUUCCACUUUAGAUACAUUUUUUAAAAUUUUUAAAUAUCCUUUACAAAUAUUAGACAACCAAUCUUUCCCUCUGCAGCACACUUAUAUAUUAGCCUCACAAGUGAAUGAUAAAGCCAAAUAGAAGAGCUGUACCUCUGAACCUGUCUACAUUGAGAUCUAUGCAAUGAUGUCAAAAAUGUUGACAUUUAUCACCAAAAGACUAUAUAUGUUAAUUGUGAUUCAUUUGUUUUCAAAGACAACAACAAAAAUAAUAAGCCAGUCUUCAUUCGUGAAUAAUGAUUUUUUUAAAAUUUUUUUCUCAGCACCACUGCUCCAUGCAGAUGGCAUUUACCCUGAUCAUAAUGCCCUGGUCUUCUCUUAAUACAUGAUAAGAAACACUCAACCCUGGACGUUUUUCUUAUUAGUUGUUCUUUAUGUGCGACAUUUCCCUUGUACAUUUAAUGCCUUUGGAGUGUAAUGAGGCAUAGUGGUUGGCAGCGCUGCUUCUGGGGAAGGUCCAUUAUGGCUUCCACACCUGCAGCUCCCAGUUAAUUUCUAUGUGAGUUUGGGAAAGUCACGCGGCUUGAGUCAGUUCAUUUCCCCAUUCUUGAAAUGGAGGUAAUGCUAGAAACUAUUGACGAUGAGAAUUCAAAGAAAUACAGCCGCUUUGGAAAACAGUUUGGCACUCUCUUGCAAACCUAUAUAGAUAACAAUUACACUCCUAGAUAUUUGCCCAAAUGAGUUGAAAACAUGUUUACACAAGACCCUGAACAGAAAAGUUUAUAGCAGUUUUACUCAGAAUCAUAAAAAACUGGAAGUAAUCUUCAAUAGGUGAAUAUAUCAUAUAGUACAGUAUGAUCACACAUUGAAAUGUUAUCAGUGAUAAAAAAAAUGUGCUAACAAACCAUGGAAAGAAGUGGAGAAGCCUUAAAUAUAUAUUGCUUAGGGCAGGAAACAAGUCUAAAAAGCUACAUAUUCUGCAAUGCCAACCACUUGCCAUUCUGGAAAAGAAAAAAUUAUGCAUUCUGGGAAAGAAAAAACUAUGGAGAAAGCAAGAAGAUCUGUGGUUGCCAGGAGUUUGCAGGAAGGAUGAAUAGAUGAAGCUCAGAGAAUUUUUAAGAGAGUGAAACUGUUCUAUGUGAAACUAUAUUGUUGAAUACAUGACAUUAUGCAUCCCAGCUACUUAGGAGGCUGAGGCAGGAGGAUCACACGUUCAAGGCCAGACUCAACAACUUAGAUACUGUCUCAAAAUAAAAAACAAAAAGGGCUAGGAGUGUAGCUUUAGAUUCAACUUCCAGUACUGGGAAAAAAAAAAUCAAAAGUAUGCAACACAAACUGAGAACCUUCAUAUAAACUAUGGACUUAGUUAAUAGACACCUAUCAAUAUUAGUUUAUCAAUUUUAAAAAAUAUACUAUGCUGAUGUGAGAUGCUAAUAAUAGUGGAAACUGGAGGAAUGAACAAGAAACAUGGGAACUCUUCUUUCUGAGCUCUUUUUCUCUAAACUUAAAAUAGGUCAAAAAUAGUGUCUUAAUUUAGUAAAUAUAUUCUUUUAGCUUCUAAUUUGGUAACAGACACAUCAAUAAACCUAGUAGCUCUGUUAGUCCUCACAAAAUUACUUUGACUUAGUUUCUAGCAUUACCUCCAUUUAUAAUAGUAUUACUAGGCUAUAUCUUUUAAAUAUUUUUCCCCUAUUGGAAUAUAUUUAGCUCAUUUAAAAUACAAUUCAGUUCCAAUUUGUAGUCCUUCUAGCCAGCAAGUCAAAGUGUUAUAUGAAAUAGAGGCAGAGAGUCACUAAAGUUCCAGGAUCUUAAACAUUUUCUUCUUUCCAGGGAAGAAUAAAACUAGGGGGAGGAAUGUGGUUACAAUAGUUAUCAUUCAGAAUUAUGAAUAGGGGCACUUUGUUGGAGGUUCAGACGUACGAAGUAGGACUGGGGUGGGAAGAUUUGUAUAAAGAUGACUUUUUUUAACACAGAAAAAUAUAUAAUGAAAAACGUCCAGCCAGCUGUGAAUGGGAGAAACUGGAAUCAACCCUGCUAUCCUGCUUUUCCCUAGACUGAAAUACUGUCAUUGGAUCUCAGUGAGACAAUGAAAGCAUUAGGUAUACUAGAAUACAGUAAGAAUUCUAGAGAAGUUUUCCAAGAAUUGAUAACUCAAUUGUGGCAUUAGAUAGAUGGUCAUCUAAAUUAGUUCCAACAGUGAGAUAUAAAGACCAUUAUGGACUUAACAAAUGUAUAUGAAACAUGCUCUAUCCUCUAGGAUCUCUUGUAGAGUAAGGAAUACAGCAACACAUUCUCUGCCUCACAGAAAUUAUAUUACAGUGGGAGAAACAACCAGUAAAUAUUUAAUUAAUUGCAUAUAUAUAUAAUGCUAUAUAAUGAUAAGGGAUAGCCCCCCCCCCCAAAAAAAAAAACAUGAAGCAGGGUAAGGGAAUGAAGAGUAAGAGUGUGCAUUUUGGGAAAAGAUCCUGAGCAAUUAUUGACAUAAGACCAACAUACAAAUGCAGCAAAGAUGCAAGCCAUUUAUGUAUUCUCUGGAAAAAGCACUACUGGGGAGAGAAAAUUCCAGGUGUAAAAAUCUUGACUAAGGAGUUGAGGGUGGGAGAUGGGCUGAGAGGUGCUUAGAGAGCAAACUGGAGAGGAUGUUGGGUUUCCUUGUUGUAGGAGGCCAUGGGUAAUACAGAACAUUAAAUUGAUAGGAACUGCAUUUCAUUUUGGAACUAUCUCGGAGUAGAGCAGGAGAGUAAGAAAGUCCAAGAAGAAAUCAAGUGUCCAAUCAGGCAGUUUUUGCAGGGACCGAAUAGAAGUCAAGGCUUGGACUAACUGGGUAUUGGGGAGUUGGAAUAUAUAUUUUUUUGUAGCUAGAGAUGACACUGUGCAUGAACUGAAUGUGGUAUUAUUAAAGAAGACAGGAUUGUUGCAUGAAUAGCUAUGUGAAUGGAAAUGCCAUUUUACCAAGUGAGGAAGGCAAAGUUGGGAAAGAGAAGCUAAAUCAUGUGGGGGGAAAUUUUUCAGAGUAAGAAGAUGUGCUAGCUUCUUAUGUUCCCCAUUAAGUCCAGAACAGUUCUGAGACAUUGAUACACAAUUACUGGUUUAAAAAAUAGUAUAAUUUGAGAUAAAAUGGAAUUUGGCCAUUUACAUUUCUUACUCCCUUGAGAUGAACAUAAAUAUCAGGAAGUGUUUUGUGCUUUGAGCAACCACCUGAGUCUCAAGCUCAUUGAAAUGUACAGGUGUUCUCUUUUAUCUUUAGGGAGAAGUUAGCCUUUAUUCCAUAGACAUAUCUUAUUAUAUCUGGAACGAAGAGGAUUUCCCCCUCCUUUUUUUUCUGUUUAGCUUUAUUUUACUAGACACUUAGGAUAUUAACAUUUGUUAUUUAUUUACUUAAACUAUCAAGUUGUUAGAGUUUGUUGAAGAGGAAUUCAGUUUCAUACACAGAAGUGUUGACAGUGUUUGACAAUCUUCCCCCAGUUUUAGGGGAGAGUAAUUUGUUAUCAGUGAACUGGAAAUGUUGUCUUGAGUUAGCCUGGGUUUUUAAUAGCUGGUAUCCUUACUUUUUCAUUAUAAAUUCGUUUUUAGUUUAGCUUAAUAAUUACCAUUUUCUUUUCUUAUGGGAUGUUAGCACUAAGCUUUCAGUGCAUGGCCAUAUACAUUGAUCCAAUAGUAUUUUCCAGAUUGUGAUAUCCCCAAAGCACGGAAUCCCAAUGUACUGUAAUUUGAAUAUGAAUCAUUCACCCCCCUAUUGAUAAAACAGAUGUCUACUUAAUUUCCCUCCUCAUCCCUCAGCUUGCUUGAGCAGUGACACUUUAUUGUUAACACUGAAUUCAUUUUCCAUAGGAAGAGGUGAUUUAGUAGGGUGGAUAGACUUUAGAGUCUUUACUAUGAUCAAGUAGUUUUUGUUAAAAAAAAACAACUGUUGGUAUAUACACAAAUCUUCAUUUCUUUUAAUUUUCCUCUUUGUCAGGAGUUACUUUAUUGAUCAGUGUUAUAUAUAUAUUUUUUCUCCUGCAAUUUACUAGAUAUACAAAGACAGGUAAAUAGAAAAGACAUUAAAAAUUUUGGAAAUCUUCCAUACACCUCAGUUAGAAUCAGCCAGGCCUGAAAUCAAGUUUUUAAUUUUUAAGUGUGUGUUUGUGUGUUGUGUGUCUGUGUGUGCAUUAGGGAUUGAACCCAGGAUAUUGUACAUGAUCAGCCUGUGCUGUAUACUUGAGCUAUAGCUCCAGCCUUGAAAUUAAUUUUUUGUUUUUCUUUUGAACUGAGAGCUAGGGGCUAGUUAGACCUCAGUAACCACAUUGUAAUCAUGUGCAACUUUAUUUUAUAUUUACAGUGCUGGCGAUUGAACCCAGGACCUUGAACUUGCUAAACAUGUGCUCUACAACUAAGCCAUAGUUCCAGUCUUGCAAUUAAACUUUUGCUACAGUACUAGCUAGCAUUUAAUCAUUGACAAAUUACCUAACUUCAUAGUCUUAAUUUUUUAAAUUUGUAAAUUGGGAUCAUAAUUUUCCUAAUUUAUUAGGCUAUUGUGAGGAUUCAAUGAGAUGGUGAUAAUUGUGACAGAUUAUAUGAACUUUAUAAAAGGUCAGACACUAUUUAAAGUGCUUUGCAAACAUAUCAAUGAGAAGAUGAUAAUAUCAGCCAAUGUUUAUGGCACAAUAAUUGGAAAAAUAAAUGAUUAAAAAAAUCAUUCUGGUCAUUGAUAAUGGAAUAAUUGUAGUGAGACUGACAGAUUGGACCCUGUAAUCAAAAGCAUCAAUUUUAGAUACAAAGAAAGAGUAAAGAAUUGAUAAGGCAUAGAAAAUGUAAGUAGAGUUUAUUCCAAUUAUAUGCAUUAAGACCAUUUUGAGAGACUUCUUUCAUAUGAGUGGAUGUAUUCAUGGUUUAAGAUGAAACUUUGCAGGAAGAAUAUAUCUUUUUAAGUGGAGUAAAAUCCAUUCACUUCUAGAGGUAUAAAUGAAAUGGUUAAGGCUAAAUGAAUCUGUUAGUAUGUCUCAGACACUUGACUCAAACGGUUAUUUUCUCCCUAUUUAAUCAAAAGAGACUAAAAUUAAUUUUGACAGAUCUGGCAAUUAUCUGAUAACCACCAGCCUAUUUUGUCAAAAACCACCCAAUAGCAAGAAAUUUUGAUUAUUAGGAACUUGUCUGAAAAAAAGCCAUGCACCAAGUGUUAAGGGGACUUGAUGAUAAUCUGGGAAUGAAAUUUUGCUCCAAGAGUAGAAGGACCAUUCACAAUUGUCAGGAAAGAUCUUCAAGAGCCAAGGAGAGAAAGUCCCAGGAAAGAUAGAAGGUGGCCUAUCUAGUAAAUCACCUAAAAAGGAAGGGAAAGAAGACAAAGGAAUAGGAACAGAGAUCGUCUCCCCCUAAGUCAUAAUGUAUAAAGACAUUAUUAUUAACAUUUUCACAAUACCUUCACAUUUUAUCAGGCACUUACAACAUAACAAUGAAUUUUGAAGUGGGACCAAGAGGGAAAACAUGAGGGAUGAAGUCCAAGCAGGCAAAAAGCAUUCCAGAUUGCUUGACUCUUAUCAAUGCCAGGUCCGGUUUUCUUCCAACUCCCACAGCUCUGCUAAACCCUCUUGGAAAGGAAAUUGGACCAUGACUUUCUUUUCAUAUUAUUUCUUUCUAUUCUAUGCCCUGGAUUGUUAAAUGCAAUACUUGUUGGCUCCUUCCAACUCCCCACCCAUGGCGUGGUAGUACUAAGGUCAGUGUAUGGGUGGUAAUGGAAUCGAGACAGGGAAUUUCACUGUUUAUAUCUAGGCAGUGUUUUUACUAACUAGAAAGCUCUCCACAAUGUGAAUGAGAUUUUUAAAAUAUGACACACAGUAGUAAUUCAACUGUGUCCAUGAGGAAAUGAGAAUCUAUCAAUAGUUGUGUUUGACAUGUUGUUAGGUGGGGACUCACAUAUUAGCGGAAUGUCAUUCUUUGGUGGUGGACAUUGGACAACUAUUUUAAAAAGUUUUACUGGACUUAAAAGUUGCUUGAGGUAUUAUAGAAUUUCAGUGUAAAAGAGACAUUUUGGGGUUUUGAGAAGUGAUUAUAUCAGGAACUGGGGAUAAACCAUGUACGGCUAUUUGUAAAAUGUAUUUUCUUAAUCAUAAACUAGAAGUUAUAGGUCAACACAUUCCAUGGAAAAGGAUAUUGGGCCCUGAAGGAAAGUUUUAAUACACCUGUCUAUUUGUGCCCAAAACACCAGUUUUGACUGUAUCUCAGUGGUAGAGCACGGGCUUAGCACAGUGUGAGGCCCUAGGUUCAAAUUCCCAGCACACAUAUACACAAAAGCCAUUUUGUUUUGACUCUUUAUUUCAGGUAAGAGAUGCAAAAGAGCUAGGAUUUUCUGUUCCCACAGCUGUAAUAAAUCUAGCCACAUUCAUGUAAAGACUUGUGGCAAUGUCAAUGUUGGUUGAUAUCAGGAUGCUCACCAAGCCUACGCCUUACCAGGUUGAGGGCUGGACAAUGGACUGCAUUCUCUCUCUACUGGUCACAUUUUGUUGGGACCCCUGGUAGAGUUUUCCUAAAUUGCCACCUGAUUGUUGCCUAACAGAUGGCUUAAAAGUAUUUGCUUAUCCAGAGGCAGCUACCAAAAUUUUUUUUAAAUGUUAUUUUUUUGUGCUAGGGAUCGACUGAAGGCCUUGCACAUGCUAGGCAAUUGCUCUGCCACUAUCUUCAUCCCCAAUCCUUUAAAAUGUCUUUCUUUUGUUUUGAGAUAGGGUCUUACUAAGUUGCUUGUUCCUGCCUCAGACUCCCAUGUAGCUGGGAUUACAGGUGUACACCAUGGCACAUUGCCCCCCAGAUCACAAAACCCUGAAGUGAAGAUGGGAAGGGUCCUGAGACAGCGAAGUGCCUAUCUGGUAGAGGAGAGGGAUGCCAUCCCUCAUUGCCACUGAAAAUCCAAAUACUAUUACAAAGAGGGAGGUAAAACAAAAGCAAGCAUGGAACAUGAGCAUUGUUGGAAAAGUGGAAGUUAAGGCUUUCAGAAUGAUCCAAAUCAGUUCUCAACCAUUAAAGAAUGCUGCAUUUAAGCCAAAGCAUGAUUAAGAUCGACAACAGAGGCAGUGUGUCUGUAUUCCAAUCCCCGCUGUCAUCUACUAGCUGUGUGACUUUUAGCAUUGUGUUUAAUCACCUUGUGUCUGUUUCCUCAUCAGUAAAAUGAAGCCCAUAAUGGAACUGAUCAUAAAAGAUAACUUGUAAGAGUUAACAUAAGGAAAGUACUUAGAAAAGGACACAGUGCUUCAACAUAGUAAUCACUGUUAGUUGUUACUAUAAACAACUAGUGCUUUAAGAUUAGGUCUUAAAUUCUACCAGAUCAGUUAUCAGCUGAACAUUACUAAACUGCCUCCUUAUCUAAAGUCAGGUCAGACUUUUGUAAAAUAUGAGGAAUAUAUAUAUAUAUAUAUAUAUAUAUAUAUAUAUAUAUUACUAUUUUCAUCAUUAUUAUUUUGUUACAACAUCAAUUCAUGUGACUUAGUGUUAUUUUUUUUCCUUUUAGGCACAUAAGAAGAGUGGUUAUUUUAAUUCUCCAGUAUCAUUUAAAAAAUUCACACAUGUACUUACUCUGGAAAGCCUGCAAUUGUGUUUACUAAAACAUAUGGAUGUUUACUAUAAAUGCUUCAUUCCUGGGAUUUGCUUCCACAUGUGCCUAUCAGGCAUACUGGCAAUAUUUUAGCCCUAGUAAAGUAAUAGAUGCUACAUAAAUGUGUAUAAUGUGCUGCCUAAGAUAAUUUUCAUCCUAGUUAAUUAUUUGUGAAACAUGCAAAUAUUUAAUUGAAUGUAAAAACUGAUCCUAUACAUAUUUAUUUCCUCUAUCUAUUCUCAGGCUAAAUUCAGUAUGAUUACUACCAGCAUAAUUUCAACUGACUUCUUGUGAAGGAGAUUUCACAGUCACCUGACCCAACAGCCUGAAGCUGUCAUUGUGGAAAGCCCCCAAAAGAAGCUUGCAAAAUCUUUGGAGGAUUUCUUAAAUCUUAUGAAAAAAGGUGGGGAGUGGGAUAGAAAUAAAGUAAAAGGAGAUUUUUCUUCAAAAAGAUUUUGAAAAUGUAGCAUUGGGAACCAAGGAGUGCUUAAUCUAUUGACAUUUAAACUCUUAUUACUCAGAUUUCUUUUUCAUUGUUCAUUUUACAUUAUUAUGUGCUUCAUUUCAACAGAACUUAAAAAUUGCUGAGUAUUCUUAGGCCACAAAAACAGAUGAAAAUUGAGAUGUAAAGAUUUCUAUACUUUAAAAGUAGUUUCAAAAUUGUUUUUUCACAGGGAUCCUAUACUAACAAGGGAUAAAAAUCAAUGCAUUGAGAGAAGCUAGAAUACAAUAUGAUGUGGUUCACUAUUACAAAAUACAUAGAGGAAAGGGACCAGGGGAAGGCAGGAGGAGAGGGAAAGGUGAAAUACUGGGGAAUGAUAUUGGCCAAAUUAUAUUGUUAGAUUGUGUGCAGGUACAAUAUGUAACAACAGAUCCCACCAUUAUGUGUAAUUAUAAUGCACCAAU